AUAAGUUUCAUACCUUGGCUACAAUCACCAUCAGAACGAGUGAUCGAGUUUUCAAUGUUAAGGCUAUUUGGGGAAGACCCAUCUUCAUUUGAUUCCAUAUCAUGUUCUUGAGGAUUACUCUCAUAUGUGUCCCUUUGCGAGAUAUUUGAAUUAAUUUCAGGUUCUUGUUGCUUUAGCCUUUUCGAACUCCUCAAACUCUUCGAACUCUUCGGACUCUUCGAACUCUUAGAACUCUUACCUUUCUUUGACAUCUUCGAACUCUUCGAACUCUUGCUUUUCUCAAACUCUUCUAUACCGUAAUAUACUAUAGGAUUGGUGUAUAGUAAGAUCACUAAGCAAUAGAGCAUUUAUUUACUUGACAAGUAUAUUAGAUAGUUAUUUACCUUCGGCGCCUAUCGGAAGCGAUUGCUGUGCAGAGAAAAGAAGAAAGGAA
RNAcentral lists this long non-coding RNA (433 nucleotides) under Linum usitatissimum (flax). RNAcentral's name for it is "long non-coding RNA (LUSI_LNC006627)". The record is from RNAcentral. Lineage: Eukaryota; Viridiplantae; Streptophyta; Magnoliopsida; Malpighiales; Linaceae.